GACGAACGCUGGCGGCGUGCCUAACACAUGCAAGUCGAGCGAGAUACCUUCGGGUAUCUAGCGGCGGACGGGUGAGUAACACGUGGGUAACCUGCCUCAUAGAGGGGGAUAGCCUUCCGAAAGGGAGAUUAAUACCGCAUAUACUCCAAGCAUCGCAUGGUGCAAGGAGGAAAGGAGUAAUCCGCUAUGAGAUGGACCCGCGGCGCAUUAGCUAGUUGGUGAGGUAACGGCUCACCAAGGCGACGAUGCGUAGCCGACCUGAGAGGGUGAUCGGCCACAUUGGAACUGAGAAACGGUCCAGACUCCUACGGGAGGCAGCAGUGGGGAAUAUUGC
This 334-nucleotide ribosomal RNA is filed under the name uncultured bacterium. RNAcentral's name for it is "bacterial SSU rRNA". It matches the Rfam family "Bacterial small subunit ribosomal RNA", at positions 28 to 367 of the family's 1533-position model. The record is from RNAcentral.